Oncorhynchus mykiss (rainbow trout) is the source of this 3033-nucleotide long non-coding RNA. RefSeq lists it as uncharacterized. Lineage: Eukaryota; Metazoa; Chordata; Actinopteri; Salmoniformes; Salmonidae. The record is from RefSeq and is a predicted model, not a curated record.
ACAUUUAAAACCUUGAAGUUGCCCAGGAGUUCAGGCUCGAUAGUGUAUCUGAUAAACAUUUAAAACCUUGAAGUUGCCCAGGAGUUCAGGCUCGAUAGUGUAUCUGAUAAACAUUUAAAACCUUGAAUUUGCCCAGGAGUUCAGGCUCGAUAGUGUAUCUGAUAAAUGCUUAAAGAGUUUAAUCAAGCUCCCGCACGGACAGUCUCUUUUUGUUCUGAGGAGCUCAGAAAAUGAAAUGAAGUGACAAUACUUAGCCACACGCCUUAACUGAUGUCUUUAUCUCUUUCCUUCUGCUCUGGCAAAAGGUAGUAACUACAGAAUUAGUUAGAAAGAAAGUGAAAACUGAGAAGUGUGCUUUCCCGGCUAUUGUCAUGGAAAUAUGCGUCCUAACCAAAUGCUUGUGUAUAUCCAUCCCAUUAAGCACGUUUUAGUAGUGAGAGACAAAUUGGUUUGACACUAGUAGAGACACACAUCCUCUUCGCUAAGUGACAGACUCUGCAGCUUGAUCGAUGAAGGGAAAUGGCCAAUCCAAUUAGAUUUGGAUUGGUUUAACAUGAGCAUUAUUGAAUUAAAAGUCUUUCAGCUUUCCCAUUGAUCCUGCCAGAGCUUAGGCUGAGUAGGCACUGUACAUAUCUAGGCCACGCCCUCUUUACAGGACAAUACAUGUGGAUAAGAGCCCGGUGUAAAUUGUAGUAAUGGGUAAAAAAAGCUAUACAGUUUACAUAUCGCAAUAGUUUUGGGGGACAAUAUGGGACUCGUUUCAGGAAACUAGGCAUAUGUCGCAAGCCACUACUUCACAGAAGAGGCAUUAGAAUGUUUUAUUUUUUUUAUCAAAAUGAUUUUUUUUGGGCAGAAUGCCUUCUGGACCACGUGAACCUUCAUGUGCCUUAAUAAGAAACUUGCAUGCCAUCUGUAAAUAGGAAUUAAAAAAAGAAUAAUCACAAGCCUAGAUGUUUUUAGCCACAGAAAAAGGAGGGAACCUUCCCGCUAGACAUGAUUGGCUGAGAUAAUGAAUGGGCUGGACAAGCGAUGAGAUGAUUUUGGAUUGAUCGACCAUGUAGCACAUUCUGUCUAUAACAUAGCCUGCUCGCUAUGUGUAGAUACUCCUUUCUACUGCAUUUUUUUUUAAAGAUAUUAUCGAGGUGUUUCUCCGGAUUACAUAUUCAAACUAAGGGCAAAAAUGGAAUCCGUGACAGAGGGAAAAAGAUCUGAUGAAUCUUAUGGCAUUGCACACGGUCAGUGUGAACCAGAGCGAUUUGACACAACGGGCCAAGCAAGCUGUACAAAUGAAACGGAAACGACACAGGACGUCCAAUUUAAUGAAAUGGGUUGCAGUCUGCCGUGAACCGUUCAUCUAUGAAUACGGGUAAGAGUCCAGCUACAUUUUCAGAUAUUAUACAUUUCAGGAAUUUAGUCAGGAAGUCGUUUUCAUUGCAAGUUAAAGCCAGCUAGCUAACAUUAGUUGGCUGACUCACUAGCUAACAUUACGUUUAUGAUCUGUGUAUUAAUAUUAUCUCAUGAAGCCAUUUGCAUUGCUACUUAUAGCCUAAUGUUAGAUGGCUAACUUACUUUGAACCUAGUUCGUUAGCUUUAACUAGCUAUGACAAUCGGUUUGUAUUGCUUGUACUCUAUGGGUUGGGGUUAUGGGUCAUUGUUUAGCUACCUACAUGUUUAAACAAGACUCCACUUCGGCAGAUGAUUACAUGACUAAUCAAGUUAGUCAGGUGUGUUUGGCGGUGAUUACGGCUAUCUAUUGUAUAAUAAUGCUAAGAUAUUUGUAUCUGGAAUUUGUCUUUCAGCAUCUGUAGAACACGCCAGACUCUCUUCCACCAGUCAUACAAGGAGAAUGGUCUAAUGCCUCAUCAAAAAGAGAGCUGGUCCAAGCAAGCGCAGGUUACACCUGAAGCAUGAGGACUUGCAGCGAGUUGUGAACAACAACUAUGCCGAGGAUAAUGCAAUAGUAUUGCCACGAUGCCACCCAGGACACAAACACUUUGGUGGAAAGCUGCUGCCAUCCCAUGUGACAGAAGCAGCAGUGUGGUGUCUCUACAAGGAAUCGAUGACAACACUUGAGGUACGUGUAUUCGGGCUUUCUUCCUUCAGGAAUCUGUGGAGAGAUUGCUGGUGUGGUGAAGGACAGCACUGUGACGGGACAACAUCCCACUGUUGGUUGGACUGGAGCUUUGAUGCUCUGGAGCCUGGUGUUGUUGUCGCCAAAGGAGCAGCGACCCAGUCGGGACCAGGUUUCAGCUGCUGCGCAAUGCUGAUGUCCUUUCUCCCAUAGAUGGUCUGCCUGUACAAGCACCACCUGGACACAACUAGACAAAGAUAUAUUUUUGAGAAGAUUAGGGAAUUUUGCGACAAGGAGGCCAUGGACAUCAAAUGUCCUGCACCAAAGUAAAGGGCAGGACAGAAACAGGCUCUCCAAAUAUAGAUGCCCUUGUUCAUGCGUGGUGCUGAUGGACCAGUUCAUCACUGGAGGCCGAGUUCCCAUUCAUCCGGACUCUCUCUAGUAGCAGCACAUUCACAUCACUCUCCCCCUAACACACAAACACGCAUACCAUACGUUGCUGCUACAUUUUGUUUUUAUCACGCUGCUCAGCCACUUUACCCCUUAUUGUAUGCAUAUAACUUCAUUGUCUAUCAAAAGUAUCACUGAUAUCGUUAUUGACAUUGUUCGUGUACAUACUGUAUAUUUUGUUCUUUCUCUUACUGGCACUUUGACACUUUUGUUUAUUUAUUGUUUAUAUUGACACUUUCUAUUUUUGAUAUUGCUACUAUGCAAGUAACCAUUUCACUGUAUCAUGUACACCUUCUGUACACUUAACAAGAUGUGACUGGCAUUUAUAGCAUUUCAUUCACAGGACCCAUCAAUUUAGACAUUUGUCUGCGGUAAGCAUCAUCUAAUAUUUAUAAAAUAUAUUUUCUGGACACCUUUUUUUUUAUAUUGCUACUUUACAAAUAUGCAUGUAACCAUUUCACUGUACCGUUUACACCUUCUGUAUGUGACAAAUAAAUGUUGAUUUUGUUUGA